ACAGGAACAGAUUAGAAGAGAUCAGUAAUUGGAAGUGUAAUACUGGGGUGGAAACUUGAUUUGAGUGGUAUGUGCAGACAAAGAGCUGUAAAAGAACUACUGUAACCCUUGUUUUCUUUUUCUUUUAACACAGACAUUUCCUUACACACAAUUAAAGUAGAUUUAGGGGAUUAAGAAAUAAAUGUCUCAGAGCCUGUGGGAAUAGAGUUGUUAGAUCUAGUGUCUUGGCCACAUUCCAGUUUGGAUAUUGCCCCAAUUUUUUAAAGCUGCAUAUGAUUCCAACUCAUUUCAUCUCAAGGGAUUUCUGGAAUCCCAUAUGACUUCUUUACUUAAUCACCCGCAGUGCAAAAGUCUUCCAAUGGACAUCCAAACUUCUCAUGAACUUUGUAAGCUCUUUGCAACUGCAAUGUCCUUUUGCAAGAAGUUCCACAGCUCUGCUGCCCACUGCAUGAAAAAACAGUUCCUUUCUGAACUUGCAUGUUACUUGUCUCCACUGAUGGUCUCUUAUUCUUUCACUGAAAGAGAUGAAGAACUGUCAGCUCCUACUCUUUCUCUUGAUCAUCAUUAUGUGUACUACUCUUAUAUCCCCCUUUUCUCAAGCUGUCUUUCCCAUGCUGAAAUAUCCCAUAUCAUAUUACACACAGAAGUGAUUUCAUAGCCUUUUUAUUUGUUUUACCUUCCUUUGAAGCUAGUUAUGGAAUGAA
Long non-coding RNA from Neopsephotus bourkii (Bourke's parrot), 704 nucleotides. RefSeq lists it as uncharacterized. Lineage: Eukaryota; Metazoa; Chordata; Aves; Psittaciformes; Psittacidae. The record is from RefSeq and is a predicted model, not a curated record. The transcript has 2 exons.